UACGUAGGGUGCGAGCGUUAAUCGGAAUUACUGGGCGUAAAGGGCGCGUAGGCGGCAGAUCAAGUCAGCUGUGAAAUCUCCGAGCUUAACUCGAAACGGUCAGCUGAUACUGUUUUGCUAGAGUACAGAAGGGGCAAUCGGAAUUCUUGGUGUAGCGGUGAAAUGCGUAGAUAUCAAGAGGAACACCUGAGGUGAAGACGGGUUGCUGGGCUGAUACUGACGCUGAGGCGCGAAAGCUAGGGUAGCAAACGGG
This 253-nucleotide ribosomal RNA is filed under the name uncultured bacterium. RNAcentral describes it as "partial 16S ribosomal RNA". It matches the Rfam family "Bacterial small subunit ribosomal RNA", at positions 524 to 776 of the family's 1533-position model. The record is from RNAcentral.